This 274-nucleotide ribosomal RNA is filed under the name uncultured bacterium. RNAcentral's name for it is "partial 16S ribosomal RNA". It matches the Rfam family "Bacterial small subunit ribosomal RNA", at positions 523 to 796 of the family's 1533-position model. The record is from RNAcentral.
AUACGGAGGGUGCAAGCGUUACUCGGAAUCACUGGGCGUAAAGCGCGCGCAGGCGGGCUGAUAAGUUGGAUGUGAAAGCCUACGGCUCAACCGUAGAACUGCAUCCAAAACUGUCAGUCUAGAGUCUGGGAGGGGAAGAUGGAAUUAGUUGUGUAGGGGUAAAAUCCGUAGAGAUAACUAGGAAUACCAAAAGCGAAGGCGAUCUUCUGGAACAGUACUGGCGCUGCGGCGCGAAAGCGUGGGGAGCAAACAGGAUUAGAUACCCUUGUAGUCC